This 738-nucleotide long non-coding RNA is filed under the name Gossypium barbadense (sea-island cotton). RNAcentral's name for it is "long non-coding RNA (GBAR_LNC021427)". Lineage: Eukaryota; Viridiplantae; Streptophyta; Magnoliopsida; Malvales; Malvaceae. The record is from RNAcentral.
AAAAACUAAAAAAAAAACUCUUAAGCCACCCUCCCCUUUUCUCUCAAAUCUCCGGCCAGGAUCCAGCCAUGGGUUCCAGAGAGUCUCCGCCGUAGCGCCACCGUGUGUGGCGGCCGGAGGCCCAAAAGCCUAUUGCUUCUAGGCCACGGAUCUGGGGUCGAAGUUCGUAAAAAAGGAGCCAUAGACCCGAAAAUGGGCCGAAACCCCCCGCCUUCUUCUCCUCCGGCGCGGCGUAGGUAAGUUUUUUUUUGUUUUUUUUUGUUUACUAUUUAGUGUAGAAGAUAAAAAUAAACAGAAAAAGAAGAGAUUCGGACACCAAAAUGUCACCUUCUAUUUCUUGUUUUUGUUCUUGUUUUUUUUUUAAGAAAGGGCUGAACCCCUUACAAUCUAUUUUGAAUGGCCUUUUGUAGCCAAUUUUGUUACAAUAUUUUUUUGCCUUUGUUGCUACUAUUUGCUACUGUUAUUCUUUGCGUGUCUUCUUCUUUGCAGUGAGCCAGAGACGCGGAAGGGACGUGACGUGAUGGAGGCAUGGGAGGGACAGUGGCAGGUGCGCCAUUUGAGCUGACGGCGGCCGAAGUCAGAAGACCCUAGGUGCGGCGCACCUAGGGUUUGUUUUUUGCUGUUCAUUUUUCUGAUUUUGUUGGGCUAGGGUUGUUAGAUUAUUUGGGCCUGUUUAGGUUUGGCAUUUGGGCUAGAGUGUGUUUGCCUAGGCCGGGCGAAAUUGGGCUACUACAUAAU